GUCUACUUGCGUAUUCUACUGGGUGUUC
RNAcentral lists this small RNA (28 nucleotides) under Bombyx mori (domestic silkworm). RNAcentral describes it as "ovarian small RNA-17802". Lineage: Eukaryota; Metazoa; Arthropoda; Insecta; Lepidoptera; Bombycidae. The record is from RNAcentral.